Molecule: ribosomal RNA, 526 nt
Filed under: uncultured bacterium
Lineage: Bacteria
Description: bacterial SSU rRNA
Rfam family: Bacterial small subunit ribosomal RNA
Source: RNAcentral
ACAUCCAGCGAACUUGGCAGAGAUGCCUUGGGUGCCUUCGGGAACGCUGAGACAGGUGCUGCAUGGCUGUCGUCAGCUCGUGUUGUGAAAUGUUGGGUUAAGUCCCGNAACGAGCGCAACCCUUAUCCUUUGUUGCCAGCGAUUCGGUCGGGAACUCAAAGGAGACUGCCGGUGAUAAACCGGAGGAAGGUGGGGAUGACGUCAAGUCAUCAUGGCCCUUACGAGUAGGGCUACACACGUGCUACAAUGGCGCAUACAAAGAGAAGCGACCUCGCGAGAGCAAGCGGACCUCAUAAAGUGCGUCGUAGUCCGGAUCGGAGUCUGCAACUCGACUCCGUGAAGUCGGAAUCGCUAGUAAUCGUGGAUCAGAAUGCCACGGUGAAUACGUUCCCGGGCCUUGUACACACCGCCCGUCACACCAUGGGAGUGGGUUGCAAAAGAAGUAGGUAGCUUAACCCUCGGGAGGGCGCUUACCACUUUGUGAUUCAUGACUGGGGUGAAGUCGUAACAAGGUAAGCGUAGCGAG